GACGAACGCUGGCGGCGUGCCUAAUACAUGCAAGUAGGACGCAGUUGCGAACGGGUGAGUAACGCGUAGGUAACUACCUAUUAGAGGGGGAUAACUAUUGGAAACGAUAGCUAAUACCACAUACUAGUAGAUGGACCUGCGUUGUAUUAGCUAGUAGGUUGGGUAAUGGCUUACCUAGGCAACGAUACAUAGCCGACCUGCUAUGGUGACCGGCCAAAAUGGGAUGGAGACACGGCCAAGAAUCCUACGGGAAGCAGCAGUAGGGAAAGUUCGGCAAUGGGGGGCACCCUGACCGAGCAAAGCCGCGUGAGUGAAGAAGGUUUUCGGAUCGUAAAGCUCUGUUGUUAAGGAAGCGGUACUUAACCAGAAAGGGACGGCUAACUACGUGCCAGCAGCCGCGGUAAUAC
Molecule: ribosomal RNA, 407 nt
Filed under: uncultured bacterium
Lineage: Bacteria
Description: partial 16S ribosomal RNA
Rfam family: Bacterial small subunit ribosomal RNA
Source: RNAcentral